GUCCACUUGAUAGAAGGUUUUAGCACUGGUUUUACAAGAAGAGAAUUGUGCAAAUUUUAUCUACAGGCUUGUCCUAUCAAGGUUGAGCGGCAGGUGGUGUCGUGCGAGGCUGAGGGAGGAUGUUGUUGUAGUUUCAUAUAAUAAUUUUCGCUGCCAUAAUAUUCACUUAGGUGGAUAUCUUUUGAGAUUGACUCUUUAAAUAUUCUUAGCCUAAUUAUUAUGAACUCUUUUGGC
Long non-coding RNA from Salvia miltiorrhiza (redroot sage), 234 nucleotides. RefSeq lists it as uncharacterized. The record is from RefSeq and is a predicted model, not a curated record. Lineage: Eukaryota; Viridiplantae; Streptophyta; Magnoliopsida; Lamiales; Lamiaceae. The transcript has 2 exons.